Molecule: transfer RNA, 76 nt
Filed under: Amphritea sp.
Lineage: Bacteria; Pseudomonadati; Pseudomonadota; Gammaproteobacteria; Oceanospirillales; Oceanospirillaceae
Description: tRNA-Leu
Source: RNAcentral
AGCGAGGAGGAGGCGUCGGUCUCGGCUCUUUAUAAGGGCAGGAAGGUCGACAGUUCAAAUCUGGCCCCCGCUACCA